Molecule: ribosomal RNA, 495 nt
Filed under: uncultured bacterium
Lineage: Bacteria
Description: partial 16S ribosomal RNA
Rfam family: Bacterial small subunit ribosomal RNA
Source: RNAcentral
GACGAACGCUGGCGGCGUGCCUAAUACAUGCAAGUAGAACGCUGAAGGAGGAGCUUGCUCUUCUGGAUGAGUUGCGAACGGGUGAGUAACGCGUAGGUAACCUGCCUGGUAGCGGGGGAUAACUAUUGGAAACGAUAGCUAAUACCGCAUAAGAGUAGAUGUUGCAUGACAUUUACUUAAAAGGUGCAAUUGCAUCACUACCAGAUGGACCUGCGUUGUAUUAGCUAGUUGGUGGGGUAACGGCUUACCAAGGCGACGAUACAUAGCCGACCUGAGAGGGUGAUCGGCCACACUGGGACUGAGACACGGCCCAGACUCCUACGGGAGGCAGCAGUAGGGAAUCUUCGGCAAUGGACGGAAGUCUGACCGAGCAACGCCGCGUGAGUCAAGAAGGUUUUCGGAUCGUAAAGCUCUGUUGUAAGAGAAGAACGAGUGUGAGAGUGGAAAGUUCACACUGUGACGGUAUCUUACCAGAAAGGGACGGCUAACUACGUG